GGGUGACUAGUCUAGUGGUCAGGACGCUUCGUUGUGGUUUGAGAUGCACUUCUCAAUACAUGACGACCCGAAGAAACCCCGGUUCGAUUCCGGGGUCGCCCA
This is a non-coding RNA of Podospora fimiseda, 102 nucleotides long. Lineage: Eukaryota; Fungi; Ascomycota; Sordariomycetes; Sordariales; Podosporaceae. The record is from the annotation of a GenBank genome assembly.